This 268-nucleotide signal recognition particle RNA is filed under the name Fidelibacterota bacterium. Its description in RNAcentral is "signal recognition particle sRNA large type". It matches the Rfam family "Bacterial large signal recognition particle RNA". Rfam says of the family: The signal recognition particle (SRP) is a universally conserved ribonucleoprotein involved in the co-translational targeting of proteins to membranes. The record is from RNAcentral. Lineage: Bacteria; Pseudomonadati; Fidelibacterota.
CUAUGCUACACGGGGAGCUAGCGGUGCCCUGUACCUGCAACCCGCUACAGCAGGGUGGAAAGCAGGGCUGAGGGUCUGACCCGGUUUGUCUUCUGGCAAUAUCCGGGCGAUGACGUUUACAGACCUGUUCAAUGGAGGGUUGAUGAACCCCGUCAGGCCCGGGAGGGAGCAGCGGUAGUCAACUGCUCCAUGUGUUACAGGUAUCUGUAAGCCAGCCUUUGGAUUUGCCAGAGGAUAAGUGCGGGGGAUUCGAAGCCCUGCUGCAUAG